Molecule: ribosomal RNA, 522 nt
Filed under: uncultured Glomus
Lineage: Eukaryota; Fungi; Glomeromycota; Glomeromycetes; Glomerales; Glomeraceae
Description: SSU rRNA
Rfam family: Eukaryotic small subunit ribosomal RNA
Source: RNAcentral
UGGUGCCAGCAGCCGCGGUAAUUCCAGCUCCAAUAGCGUAUAUUAAAGUUGUUGCAGUUAAAAAGCUCGUAGUUGAAUUUCGGGAUCAGCAGGUUGGUCGUGCCUCUGGUAUGCACUGGUUUCGCUGAUUCCUCCUUUCUGAAGAACUGUAAUGUCAUUAAUUUGGUGUUGCAGGGAAACAGGACUUGUUACUUUGAAAAAAUUAGAGUGUUUAAAGCAAGCUAACGCUUGAAUACAUUAGCAUGGAAUAAUGAAAUAGGACGUUUGAUCCUAUUUUGUUGGUUUCUAGGAUUGACGUAAUGAUUAAUAGGGAUAGUUGGGGGCAUUAGUAUUCAAUUGCCAGAGGUGAAAUUCUUGGAUUUAUUGAAGACUAACUACUGCGAAAGCAUUUGCCAAGGAUGUUUUCAUUAAUCAAGAACGAAAGUUAGGGGAUCGAAGACGAUCAGAUACCGUCGUAGUCUUAACCAUAAACUAUGCCGACUAGGGAUCGGAUGAUGUUAAUUUUUUAAUGACUCAUUCGGC